RNAcentral lists this long non-coding RNA (3758 nucleotides) under Sus scrofa (pig). RNAcentral's name for it is "lncRNA (ENSSSCG00000058523.1)". Lineage: Eukaryota; Metazoa; Chordata; Mammalia; Artiodactyla; Suidae. The record is from RNAcentral.
AAUAUGAGAACGGGCUCUGCAGGCAGGGUCUGCGGAGAUGCCACCGUCAGUGCGGCACUGCGGGGAACUGACCUCAGCGGGCGUGGUGCAAAUGAAUCCCGAAUUCCACUUAGUCAACCGAAUAGGGGUUUCUUCUUUUGCCUCAUGGCCUUAUAACAGUCCCCCAAAGUUCAGCAAAUAGGAUGCGUCUGCCCCUCUAGGCUGUUCAUUCCUCACCAUAUAUUGUGUGGAUCCAUAUGGCAUAAAUGAUUUAAAUACCGCUGCAUACAAAAUACACAUUAGAAUUUAUUUCUGAAAUCAAGAUUCCAUUACCAGUGAUGGAAGUUAUUGUUCACAAAUGGGAGAUGCCUGUGCACGGCUACUGCUGAAACCUGACCGCGGAAAAGAUAAACUAUAAACCGGUGUAUUUGCUCGGGGUCGAGCUCAUUCACAGACUUAUUCAAAUCAGGUCCGUGGGGUUUCUUCUUGCCAGCUCUCCAUCCUGGAUUCCUCUGCAGUCCCUUCCUUCAGGUGACAGGAUGGAGCAAGUUCCAUUACGUUCCAUCUCGGCUUAAUCCCUUGCUGUGACGAGAAGUGGAAAAUGCAAUUAAAUGCACUUCUGAAACUCCCCCGUCCGAGUGCUGUUUACAGCGUGGCCUGCAUUAAGCAGGCUGAGCAGGGCCACUCCUUUUGCAUCUGGUGGCUUUCCGCAGCUUUGGGAAAGCUGUUUGUAAAUUAAAGCAUUCAGUCAGCCGCUCUGAGAAUCAAUCCCAGUUUGUUAUAAAAGAAUAUGGUUGAAAUCAACAUUCGUGUGGGUUGUGUUUGGAGUGGGGUUUCAGAGGGGAAGGGCUGGCGGGACGAUCCCUGGAGCCUGAACGUGGGAUCCAUCUGGUUCACCAAAUGGCAGAGGAAUUUCAAUAUUAACAGACCUUAAAUUUACCUUAAAAUAGGAUUCUGAGCCAAGCGGGACUUUUCCUCCCUCACCUUAAAUGUUCAUCCAUUAUUUAGAUAAGCAGAAGCUGCCGUGCAAAGCUGCUCAUUUCUUUCCAAGGUGCCACUUUCUUGCCUCACCAUAGUUCCUUUGCUUCUCUCCUAGGGAAGGAUAUUAAGUGACAGGUGACUCAGAGCCGGGGUGAGAUGAAACCUGUUCUUGGGUCCACCUAGGGUUUAGUGGGUGGCCGUGACCAGGACAGGGAGCCUCCUGGUGAUGCUGUUUUUGCCUACAUGUCAUCAGCUUGAAGAGGUCGCCAUGCUUCCUGCAUAAAGUAGCCUUACUCUGUCUCUGACUGGUUGCGGAUCUGAUAUGGCAAAGCACCCAGCAAACAUUUCUUCAGGGGCUCCGUUGAGGCUCAGUGGCUGUGGCUGUGGCAGAGGCUGCAGCUUCAGCUCCAACUGUACCCCUAGCCUGGGAACUUCUGUGUGCUGUGUAUGCAGCCAUAAAGCAACAACAACAACAACAACACAUUUCUUCAGCACAUUUCCUCAAACGGUGGCCAGUUUUCACACCACCUCCUCCUCUUGAAUCUUCCUUCCUCUCUCACAAACACUAAGAGCGUUCAGUAAGCAGCAGCGACACGGGUGUUGAGAGGCUGAUGUGAACCACGCAUGGUGCUAAGGGCUCUGGAUCAAAAGGGGCAUCGUAAAAGGACAUCGCAUGGGUCCCCGUCUUCCCCAGACCCUCUCGUCAGGGGACCGUCUGGGCUUCCACAAAAAGCUUUAACCCCACACUUCACCCAAACCGCCCAAGGCAACCUGUGUGUCAGAAUUCCCAGAUCUGCCAGCCCCCGGGGGUCUUACUGUUUGGUGCGGUUUAUAAACCCAUGUGCUCACCCAUCACAGGGAGCUCCUCACCCCCACCACGAUGGACCCGUCUCUGAGACGUCUGCCCCCUGCCCCCCACCCCGAACUCCUUCCACUUUUAUUGUGGGCAUAAAAUCACGCAGCUGCUGAGGGUAGAAUGAAGUCCCCAGGAAGCACUGCAAAGCAUAUUUUUUUGCCAAGUGGACAUGAUAAGGGUUUUAUUAUUAUUAUUAUUAUUAUUAUCAUCAGCACAAAUGGUCAAACAUUGCCAAACUCUCCUCAUUUCUUCAAUUGUCUUUAUAACUAGGCUUGGAUUGUUUUCAGUCCUGCUCUCUUUUUCUUUGUUGGGAUUAAGGUCUUAACAUGACUCUAAGCCCCUAGAGCUGGUGCCGUGUGGCCGUCCCAGUGUCUUCAUCCCUCUAUUGUCUGUGUGACCUCUCCCUGCAUUCUGAGGUGAGGUGCUGGAUGCCCUCCUGUGUCCCACCUGUCCCUGGCAUGCUGCAUGCACAGUGUCUGGGGGUGCCUCUCAACAAGAGGGCAACUCUGUGCGUAGAAACACUUGCCGGCAGCAACCGGGGUGGACUUCUGGUCAACCCCUCCAGGCCUACUCUACUUGUUAGCCAUGUUCUGCAUCAUCCUCACCUCUUAGGUCUCACAUCUUUCCUGCACCCCAGCACUGGGGCCCCCACAUCCCAGCCUGACCCCAAAUGCAUCCCUCCCCAGUCAUAGCAAUGGAUCUCCUGCCCCAGAGAAGAAGCUUCUAAUACUGUUAGAAAGACUAUGAUAUAUCUGGCAAUGUAUAAGGCAUAAUGAGAGCAAAUGAUGUUCAUUGCAUUGCUACAAACAAAAAAAGAGAAGAAGAAAAAACAGGAAACUUGUAGGAGAUCAGAGGAAAGGGUUUUAGGGUGGGCUGAGGAAGAACACAAAGGAGACAGAGGGAGCUAGUAUGCAGGAACAAAGACUAAAAUUGAAAUGCAAAGAUGGGAAAUGUGAAUACUUUAUGGAACCAUAGGGUUCAUUUAAUAUGAUAGCAGCCUGUCUUUAGAGACCUCACUGAACUCAGGUGCAUAUGAGAGGCUGAAUAGAGGGACUGGGAUAGUAGUCCCAUCUCUGGCGUGGAGGGUGUAUGACUUUAGACUGUAGUCCCAUCUCUGGCGUGGAGGGUGUAUGACUUUAGACUGUAGUCCCAUCUCUGGCGUGGAGGGUGUAUGACUUUAGACUGUAGUCCCAUCUCUGGCGUGGAGGGUGUAUGACUUUAGACUGUAGUCCCAUCUCUGGCGUGGAGGGUGUAUGACUUUAGACUGUAGUCCCAUCUCUGGCGUGGAGGGUGUAUGACUUUAGACACAUUAGUCACCUUCCACUGACCUCAUUUAAUGCCCGUGUUAGGCGCUAGGGCGUGUGGAGGCUGGUGGCCAGUAGAGCUUUCUGUGAUGAAACACAUAAGGAGGUGACUCUGCGGCAUGUCCUAAUGAGCGACUCCUUAAGCGUUUGGAAGCGAAGAUGAUUUUGUGGACUUAGGAAAAAUGAUGAGGAGGGCAUGGCAUGAGGAGCCGAAGGGCGGACGGACGUGUGAAAAUUAGGAAGUUAGUUGAAGGAGCUGCGUAACUAUGACGUGGACCAGUGCGGUGAGUAUAGGAUGAAGCAGAAGAACAGAGUGUGAAGGAAGGAAAGCAACGUCCAGAAUGUCCUCGAGGUCAGAUACGGAAGCAGUACAUGGAGUGAUAUGGCUUCCAGUUGAGUUUCAGCAAGAAUGACGGUGCUGUCUUUCAAAACAAAGAAAUCUGAAAUAGGAGCAAGGAGUUCCCAUCAGGACUCAGCGGUAAGGAACCUGACUAGUAUCCAUGAGGUCACGGGUCCCAUCCCUGGCCUUGCUCAGUGGGUUAAGGAUCUGGUGUUGCUGUGGCUGUGGUGUAGGCUGGCAUCUCCAGCUCUGAUUCGACCCCUACCCUGGGAAUUUCCAUAUGCUGCAGCUGAGGCCC